Non-coding RNA from Acanthosepion pharaonis, 100 nucleotides. The record is from the annotation of a GenBank genome assembly. Lineage: Eukaryota; Metazoa; Mollusca; Cephalopoda; Sepiida; Sepiidae.
CGAUUGAAACACCGGUUCUCAUACGAUCACCGAAGUUAAGCAACGUUGACUCUGGUAAGUAGAUAGAUGGGUAACCGUUUGGAAAUACCAGGUGCUGUAA